AUUGAACGCUGGCGGCAUGCUUUACACAUGCAAGUCGGACGGCAGCACAGAGAAGCUUGCUUCUUGGGUGGCGAGUGGCGAACGGGUGAGUAAUAUAUCGGAACGUACCGAGUAAUGGAGGAUAACUAAUCGAAAGAUUAGCUAAUACCGCAUAUUCUCUGAGGAGGAAAGCAGGGGACCUUCGGGCCUUGCGUUAUUCGAGCGGCCGAUAUCUGAUUAGCUAGUUGGUGGGGUAAAGGCCUACCAAGGCGACGAUCAGUAGCGGGUCUGAGAGGAUGAUCCGCCACACUAGGACUGAGACACGGCCCAGACUCCUACGGGAGGCAGCAGUGGGGAAUUUUGGACAAUGGGCGCAAGCCUGAUCCAGCCAUGCCGCGUGUCUGAAGAAGGCCUUCGGGUUGUAAAGGACUUUUGUCAGGGAAGAAAAGGCUGUUGCUAAUAUCGACAGCUGAUGACGGUACCUGAAGAAUAAGCACCGGCUAACUACGUGCCAGCAGCCGCGGUAAUACGUAGGGUGCGAGCGUUAAUCGGAAUUACUGGGCGUAAAGCGAGCGCAGACGGUUACUUAAGCAGGAUGUGAAAUCCCCGGGCUUAACCUGGGAACUGCGUUCUGAACUGGGUGACUAGAGUGUGUCAGAGGGAGGUAGAAUUCCACGUGUAGCAGUGAAAUGCGUAGAGAUGUGGAGGAAUACCGAUGGCGAAGGCAGCCUCCUGGGAUAACACUGACGUUCAUGCUCGAAAGCGUGGGUAGCAAACAGG
RNAcentral lists this ribosomal RNA (759 nucleotides) under Neisseria cinerea. Its description in RNAcentral is "bacterial SSU rRNA". It matches the Rfam family "Bacterial small subunit ribosomal RNA", at positions 28 to 776 of the family's 1533-position model. The record is from RNAcentral. Lineage: Bacteria; Pseudomonadati; Pseudomonadota; Betaproteobacteria; Neisseriales; Neisseriaceae.